This is a non-coding RNA of Podarcis lilfordi (Lilford's wall lizard), 110 nucleotides long. NCBI's taxonomy places the organism in Eukaryota, Metazoa, Chordata, Lepidosauria, Squamata, Lacertidae. The record is from the annotation of a GenBank genome assembly.
AACUAAGUUUGUUAUUGGUAUGAGCUUUCAUGUGCAUGCACACUUCUUCAGAUACUUCUUCAGAAGUGUGCAUGCACACGAAAGCUCAUACCAAUAACAAACUUAGUUGG